This 460-nucleotide ribosomal RNA is filed under the name uncultured bacterium. RNAcentral describes it as "partial 16S ribosomal RNA". It matches the Rfam family "Bacterial small subunit ribosomal RNA", at positions 338 to 795 of the family's 1533-position model. The record is from RNAcentral.
CCUACGGGUGGCAGCAGUGAGGAAUAUUGGUCAAUGGACGAGAGUCUGAACCAGCCAAGUAGCGUGAAGGAUGACUGCCCUAUGGGUUGUAAACUUCUUUUAUAUGGGAAUAAAAUGUUCCACGUGUGGGCUUUUGUAUGUACCAUAUGAAUAAGGAUCGGCUAACUCCGUGCCAGCAGCCGCGGUAAUACGGAGGAUCCGAGCGUUAUCCGGAUUUAUUGGGUUUAAAGGGAGCGUAGGUGGAUUGUUAAGUCAGUUGUGAAAGUGAGGGGCUCAACCGUAAAAUUGCAGUUGAAACUGGCAGUCUUGAGUAGAGUAGAGGUAGGCGGAAUUCGUGGUGUAGCGGUGAAAUGCUUAGAUAUCGCGAAGAACUCCGAUUGCGAAGGCAGCUCACUGGACUGCAACUGACACUGAGGCUCGAAAGUGUGGGUAUCAAACAGGAUUAGAUACCCUUGUAGUC